GAUGAACGCUGGCGGCGUGCCUAAUACAUGCAAGUCGAGCGAACAGACGAGGAGCUUGCUCCUCUGACGUUAGCGGCGGACGGGUGAGUAACACGUGGAUAACCUACCUAUAAGACUGGGAUAACUUCGGGAAACCGGAGCUAAUACCGGAUAAUAUAUUGAACCGCAUGGUUCAAUAGUGAAAGACGGUUUUGCUGUCACUUAUAGAUGGAUCCGCGCCGCAUUAGCUAGUUGGUAAGGUAACGGCUUACCAAGGCAACGAUGCGUAGCCGACCUGAGAGGGUGAUCGGCCACACUGGAACUGAGACACGGUCCAGACUCCUACGGGAGGCAGCAGUAGGGAAUCUUCCGCAAUGGGCGAAAGCCUGACGGAGCAACGCCGCGUGAGUGAUGAAGGUCUUCGGAUCGUAAAGCUCUGUUAUUAGGGAAGAACAAAUGUGUGAGUAACUAUGCACGUCUUGACGGUACCUAAUCAGAAAGCCACGGCUAACUACGUG
Molecule: ribosomal RNA, 497 nt
Filed under: uncultured bacterium
Lineage: Bacteria
Description: partial 16S ribosomal RNA
Rfam family: Bacterial small subunit ribosomal RNA
Source: RNAcentral